RNAcentral lists this long non-coding RNA (11928 nucleotides) under Citrus maxima (pomelo). RNAcentral's name for it is "long non-coding RNA (CMAX_LNC004034)". Lineage: Eukaryota; Viridiplantae; Streptophyta; Magnoliopsida; Sapindales; Rutaceae. The record is from RNAcentral.
GUAUAUGAAGCUAAUGCUAGGGUUCGGGACCCGGUAUACGGCUGCGUCGGUGCCAUAUCAUCUUUGCAGCAACAAAUAGACUCACUACAAGCCCAGUUGGCUCUAGCACAAGCUGAAGUGGUGCACUUGAGAAUGCGCCAAGUCUCACCUUCAUCAUCAUCGUCCCAUAACUUGCCUGCAAAUUCAAUGGACCAUAUGGUUGAUCAUCAUCAUCAAGCCAAUAUUGGAGGCUCUCUGUGGUCUUGCUAAGCUAAACUAGUUAAUCUAGGAUGCCAAAUCGCCAUCAUUUUUUUUUUCCUUUUUUUUAGUUAUUUAUAAUUAACUAUAAUGAGCUUGUUUUAUUGUUUGCUGCAUGCUUCUUUUUCUUUUGUCUUUACAUCUUUAUUUAUAAGUAUAGCCUUAUCAGUCAUCAUAUGUCAUCUCUGAACUUGACCUAUAGAUGAUGAUGAUCAUUAACCAUAUUGUAAAUAAUAUACCUGAUAUUAUAUAUAUAUAAUAUCAUAUGUUUUUCCUAUUUAAUGUUAAAUUAUAAUCUAUUGAGAUUAAUUUACAUUAAAAAACUACAUGACUUUAGAUUUGUUUCUUAUUGAGGUUUUGUGAAAAAUUAAAUCGAUAGACACUUUAAGAGUUGUAUAUUUUAAAUUGUAAUUGCUCAGACACUUUAUGUUUUUGAGGUUUCAUUAGCUAUGUAGCUUUGAUGUCUGUGCUCCAAACCAACCCCAACCGCCCUAGAUGAUGAUGAUCAUUCACCACGUCGAAAAUAAUAAAUUGAUUUUAAUAUCAAUUAUAAUGAGUUAUCAUAUGUAUUUAAUUAGUUCAAGAGGAUUUGCAUUUAGCACGUCUAAUUAAUGAGAAGCAAUUGAGAAUUUGACUCAAUCUCUAAACUUUUUGGGUGGUUGAGCUAGCUGCUUCUUGUGCCCCACAUUUCCAUCAUUCUAUGUUGUUAGAACGUAUGAAAAUAACAUCACAAUAAAUGAAUGUUUUUGGAUGGAAAACUAAAGUUCAACUACUGCCUACUUUCUCUUUUCAUCAUAAGUUCACCCCAGGAAAAAGUAGUAAUGAAAAUGGAUUAUGUGAAUGGUUCAAAUGUUAUUGUUCAAUCAAAAUAUAGUUUAGAAACUAAAGAAAAUUAGGCCCGAUAUGGGAAGUUCCCCUCCACCCCCAAUAAUAAUAAUAAGUAAAAAAGAGUAUCACAGUUACAAAGAAGCCCAUAUGUUACAUUUUCGACUUACAGCUAGCUCAAUAAUUUCAUGCAUAUGCAUAUUCAGCAAAAUAUCAUUACGUACAAUUUACGUCAUAGACGCAUGUACAGUGAUUCAAGACUGAGUUAGAGAUCUCAAUAGAAACUAUCUCUAGUUUAGAGUGUGAAUCAUCUUUAGAUUAUUUGUUUUGCUUUGUUUUUCUUUUGGAUCACCCUAUAAUGCCCAUAAUUUACAAUCUUCGGGUUAGGUGGAAAACUAGUGGCUCUCAGUUUUGCCAAGUCGAUACCUAAGUGAUAUCAAACCUCAAAACUCAUAGAAGCAUACAACAAGUGUCAUUGUUCACCAUGUGUUAUCAUCAGAUCAAUUUCCAUCUCCCACAUCACUAGUCAAUAUACAUUGACUUUGGUUCUAAGAGGUCCAAAAACAUUUGUAAGCUACUGGCAGCUCUGAAACUAGCUUACUUUAUGCAGGUUUUAAGGUUCCAAGUCACAAAGUAGUACCACUAGCCUGGGAAUAACUAAUUGUUUUUUGCCAUCUUCACGGAUAGAUGAAGCUCUUAACGAUGUCAGUUGAGUACUCCAUAUUGCAGCGAUUCCUUUAACUUCACGGCCGUGGGAUGGAGGUAAUCGAUUUUGUUCAUGGAAUGCCAACAUUUGUUUAGGAACUAUUGCAGGUGGCAAGAGUUCAAUAUUAACACUGAAAACUAAUGACAUUCACAAAGUUAAGAAAACAACAGAAAAAAUGAUAGUUUAAAUGGUUAAAUACGAUAACAAUGGUUGGAAAGUUCCAAUUGAAUUUAAAACUUAAUUACUUGCUAUAUCUGACAUACAUAAAUAUAAAACUAAACUAUUUAAGUUAAAAUAUGAAGUUGAACACACGGGCUCCUAGCUUUUCAACGUAUUGUCUUAUCGUUUGACAUUGAAUUAUGGAUAUCUAAUUGAAUUUUAUAAAAAGCACAAAAAAUAAAUAAAUAAAUAAAAUAAAUUUUGACAGUAAAAAUUUGUAGAAUGAACAUGUUUAGUUAAGUGGAAAAACAGAAAGAGAAUUAUUGGAAGAAGAGAAGUGUGAAGAUGAAAAAAGGUCGUCAAGGUUUAACAUACCUUUUGCUUGGCCCUAUGAAGUUGAUCAGGAUCAUCAUCUUUUUAUAUGUACGUCAGUAUGGCUUUAUGGCAUAAUGGUGGGUGGAGAGUCCCUUCAAUCCUCUCAAGUCUCGACAGGAAACCUAUGCUUUGGCCUUUGUCUCUAAAUUAAUUUGAACUAAAAUCAGGCACUACAAUUGAUUGUGUCCCAUUUUCAAACUUAAUUCAGACUAGUUAACCCUCUUCAAUCCCUUUUAUUUAUAGAAAAAGACAAAAAAGAAAAAGGAACAUUGAUAAGUGGCCCACCCAUGACUCAUGAAGUUUAUGUAUCAUGAUGGAAGAAAAUCACUUAUCUAAACCACUCAGACAGAUAGAGCCACACACGUCGAGUCGCUGAUAAUAUUUUUGCAGUUUCCAUACUUCAUCUACAUGAUGAAACAAUUAUAAAAAGGCAGCAAAUAAUGAAAAAAAAAUUUCAGAUCAAUUAUUGAUUACAAGAGCACUAGAAAAACAUGGGCAGAGCAUUUUUUAACGUUUGAAGCGUUCUUUGUUUCCUAUCAUAUCAAGAACUUGUAUUACAUUACUUUGGCCUAUGAAAUACUACCUUAGGUUCCAUGAAAAUAAUACUAGCUAUACCUCUGCCAGAACAAUAUUUAGAUAUAUUUGCCAAGCAGAAUAGUAAGAUAUUUGAAGUUUAGCUCAAGAAAAUAGCUCAGCCACCUAUAAAUUUUUGCAUGGAAUAUUGCGAUUGGAAAAAUAACAAUCUUUAACAAAAAUAUUAUUUUUGUAGCAAUCCUUAUCUCAGGUCUGCACUUUAAAAAUUUUGCAAUUCCUAUCAGGGUAAAUCAGCAAACAAAAAAUCAUAAAGAAAUAUUUAAAUCAUAAUUGUACAGUAAAGUACUUUUUAAGUUCACUAUGAGUAGGACAUUAACGGCUUGUUUACCAUGCAGAAGGAAGGCACAACAAUCCUUGUAGCCAAAUAACUAAACAACAAUUAUGCAAUUUUUCUUUAAUGCCAAACCUUUUAAGAAAGUAAAUGUGAUUUUUUAAGAAACUAAAAUUUUAUUCCUUUGAAUUGAAAUCAGAAUUUAAUGAUAACGAUGAACGUGUGAAAAUGAGGUUGAAAAAACAUUUAAGGUUUAAACCUAUAGUGUCUCAUUACAACUAAUAUUGUUGUCUAAGCAGUACUACGGUGUAAGUACAUCAUUGGGUGGCAUGAUAAAUUCUGCUAUAUCUUAAAGUAGUUGAUUCACCACAGAUUUUUGGUCCAUUUAACCAGUUAACAUACAGCUUAAUUCUGAUGUUGCAAUCUCAUGGUUUUCUCAGUGCCACGUUCCAACGAUGAAAUAAUAUAAUUAUCGGUCUGUACCUCUUGAUUGACAUUUUAUCAAGGGUCAAAGAUCCACAUCUCCCUUUCCCAGGUAGCUACGUAAAAGAGUUGUGCAUGUGACGGUAUCGGGUUCCAUUUCUCUAUCAAUCAUUUUAUCAUUGCAACUUGAAAGAUGUUUGCCUUACAAAGCCUUGAAAUCAGAACAAUAAAAAGUACAACACCGGGUCUUAUUCCCAUUUCAGUCAUCUCCUUCCAAAAGACUAAAGCAUGCAUAGAAGAAAUUUUUUAAUCUAUUUUUAAAUGAGCAUUGACUAAAAAGGUGCAAAGAACAACAUCAUAUUUGAUAUAUUCCUUUCUGCAACACGAUUUUGUUGAGGGAUCUUAGAACCAUCAAAGGGCGUCCAAUUCCAUUUGCUUCACUAAAUUCUACGAAUCCUUUGGAAGUGAACUUUCCGCUUCGAUCAGAUCUCAUGGCUUUAAUUUGACAUCCACUUUCUUUUCCACUGCAACUUUAAGCUUCUUAAAAGCUUCAAAAACUUCCGACUUUUGCUUCAAAACAUGCACUCAAGUUUUUCUUGAAGAAUUAUCUAUGAAGAGAAGGAAGUAAUUACUUUUACCAAUGGAGUUUAACUUGAAUGGAUCGCGCACAUCAGUAUGAAUAAGCUCGAGUGGCUUUCGAGCUCUUGAGUUUGACUCCUUUGGAAAGCUCUUUUUGAAUUGCUUGCCAAGUAAACAUACUCACAAAGUCGAUUAGGAUGAUUGAUUGAAGGCAUGCCUUUUACUAUGUUCUUCUUUGAUAGUAGCUCUAUUCCACCAAAGUUGAGAUAUCCAUAUUUAAGAUGCCAAAUCCAAGAUGGAUAUUUGGGACAAGCCUUGAGACACUUUGCAACAUCAUUAUGAAAUAUUAUAUUCUUCAACAUUUUCACCUUUACUAUUAGGGUUUAUUUGUUAUCUCUUAGGAAAAAGCUAUAAUUUUUUAAGUGAAUAUUGUUGUGAUAAAUUCAAAUGUUAUGAGUGUCAAUGUGUAAGUGUACACAACACGUAAUAUAAUGAUAAGUAUUCCAGAUCGUCUCCACAAGAAUUGAUGUUACCAAAUUUACUACAACAAUCUGUAACAAUGCAGUAGUUGUUCUAAAUUAAAACAUGAAAAUUGAUGUAACUAAACAACUAACUAAAAUAUAAAAUGCAAUAAUUAAAAAUGCAACAAAUAAAAUUCUCACGCCAAACGCAAGAGUAAAAUUAAUGGGAAUGAAGUAGUUGAGUGAUUAAACUCUCUUAAUGGUUUUGACUAUUUCUUCAAAUCUUAGCCUCGGUUUCUACAACAUCUGUUAUAGCACUGGUUAGAAUCCUUAUAUAUCCUCAGUUGUCGCAUGUUGGAUGUCUUAUAUCUAUAUGCAACAUAACAGUGACCAAUUGUUAUGCCAAUAUAAGACAUAACAUUACACGCUUAGAUUCUAUUUACCCUACAAGAUGAAUCUUUAUGUUUAGUUCAUCAUUAAUUUUAGAUUAAAUAUGACCCUUUUGGAAUCAAAUGAAACUCAACUCAGGAAACUCAAUGUAAAACCAAGUAUUGUUUUGAUAUGUUCCACUAAGAUAUGUCAUUUUGUGGCUCUUUCUUAACUUGUAUCAUUAAAUGGAUGGUCAGCCGAAAUAAUGAAUAGAAUAAGCUUUACCAAAACAAAAUGCUAUAGCAAACAUGCAGCAACAUAUAAAUUUAGUCAAAAAACCAUUAAGAUUUUUGUCACUCAACUACAAUUAAAUUAAUUUAUAAUUUGCGAAAGUAGAAUAAACAAAAGAGUUUUAGCCAUCAAAUACACCCCCAUGAUUAAAGAGUAAACAAGACAACAAGAGAAGAAUAAGAAUGAUUGAAUUCCAAUUGACUUCUGUAAAUUCUCAUUUGAUGCAGCCUUAAUUCUUGCUUUUGAAUUCUAUUUUGUCCUUGUUUACUUUCGGUUUUUGUUCUUGGUUGACGGCCCCUCUCUUCUCCUUUGCUUGUGUGCUUCUUUUAUAGCUGAAAAUAUGGUAAAUUGAAGUUUAGGGCACGUAUCUUCCAAAUUAGGAAACUCCAUAUCACAAUCUGCUAAGUAUCUCGCGUGGAAUCUUUUAUGUCAAUACUCCAGGGUUGCCACAACAAUGGCUACAACAUCUGCAUUGUUCCAGACUUACUUCAAUUCUUUUGCAGUCAUGUUCUUUUGUUCUUUUUGCAAGCCCAUUGCAACAACAUCGUUCAUUGAAAUUCGAGCUUCCAAUUACCUACAAUUAUGCAUAAGAUUUAAGCACACAAUUAUUCGAAUUCAAACAAACUUCAUUAAAAUUAAACUAAAAUGGAUGUUGAUGCAAAUUAUUAUUAAAUGCAACAAAACACAUCAUUUACUCUCUAAGUAAUCUUGAUUUAAGUUUAAAAGUGGCAUGAUAACUAUUUUUAUCAAAUAUCAUAGUUUUUUUUAAGAGUUGACCCAAACCGAGACUGUUACUUUUCAUAUUGGGCACAUAGUAAACAUUUGAAAUUAUUUUGUAGCUAUCAUCUUUUGCACGAAAAAAAAUGUUACCUCUGCCCUUUACUGGUACUUUUGAAUCAUUUUUAAAAACGACAUUGUCAUUUACAGAUUCAUUUAGUUCCACGAACAUGCUUUUGUUUCCGUUCAUAUGAUUGCUAGCACUUGUGUCAAAAUACAGUGUAUUUUCUUGACCUCUACUGAUGUCAUUACGUGCUAAUAAAAGCAUAUCAUCUUCACCAUUCUUCUCUUUAACAUAAUUCAAUCUUUUACCAAUUCUGGUACUUAGAGCUCUUUGCAUAAUUCAUUCAUAUACAAAUUAAUUAAAACCAUCCUCCAUAUCUCUGUCUCCGCGAUCCAAGAGAAUACAAAACAUGUCCAAAUGUGGAACUAACGGUUCAGGUAACUUAUUUGUAGACUCAAAAAAUAUAAAAUUUUAUAUAGGUAACAUUUGUAACUUAAACACGUCAAAAUUGAUUUUUAAUUUUUUUCUUUCUUUCACAACCUUUCGGUAACCCUUGCUGAAUCAAUGAAAAUAGAAUUGAAAGAGAUUAAUAGAGCUUACAAAUCAAAGGGUAUAGAGAACCAGGCCCCGAAAAAUCCAACAAAAGUUAAAAGAAAUUAAUGGAGUUUGCAAAUCUAGUAACGGUAAGUUAUACAUUGACAUUUUAUUCCAAAUUUUACAUGAAGACUCGGGCACUUACUGUAGCUUAAUUUCUAACUGUAGCUUAAUUUCAACCACAACAGUACAAUCUAAAUAGCCAUAAAAUUCAUGUAGACACAUCCACAUUGAGAAAAGUACAGACUUCACGAAUUGAGACCAUAGAUUUACAAUAUUGUAUUAUCCAGUAUUAUAAAUUAGGUAUGGUUCCAUUUCAAGCUUGCAUUUUACAAGAUAAGGGCUUUCAUUUUUAUAUAGCAGAGAAAAUUUCAUACUCAAAUUAUUUAUGAUAACCCAAAUCUCAAUUCUUCUAAAAGAAAAUAGGAUUAUGGUCGAUGAAUCUCUUGAUCUCUCGAUCUAUAAAUGACCACCUACACGUGCAAGUUGCAAAAGAUGAUCUUAAUUACAUAAUUAAUUUGGGAACUGCUUGUUUAGCUUCAUGCGAAGAAGACAAUAGCUAAGUUAACGUGAGUGGGCUCACUGAUUUAGCAUUUUGUGACUUUUUCUUUAACGUGAGUGGGCUCACUGAUUUAGCAUUUUGUGACUUUUUCUGCUAUAUUUUAUAUGAAAGCUUGAUCCAUUUAUAUAUUACUAGAUUGGUUACGAUGCUUCUUUGACAACGAAAUAAAUCAAAAUUAAUCUUGAACAACUUAUUUAGAAUUGUGCAUGCACUAUAAUCAGUGGAGCUAAAUUGAUGAAUAAUAUUUAUCAAUGUCAAAGCACUCGCUCUCGCUGAUGUUACCUGCCUGCCCCGAAGUAUCGAUCAUUCAAUAUUUAUAUUAAAUGAAAAUCAAAUCAAAUAAAAUUCAAGACUCGUUUCGAAAUCAAACGAUACAAAUUCUCCAAUCAAAGCGUUAGUUCGCGUGUUACUUUUGUAAAUAUGAUUCCUAUCUUUUCAAGAGGAUGUGUAUCUUAUCACUUGGAACAAAUUUAAUUAGUAUUACGAUUUGAUUUAUACUUUUAGUUUAUUUAUUUAUGAUUAUUAUGUUUUUUUUUUUUUUGCUCAUACUCCGCCUGCAUGUAAAGUUAUCGGCAAGAUCUAACCGUGGAUAUAAAUAACAUUAAUUAAAAGAAUAAAGCACUCAAUUUUCGUGAUUUUUUAUUUUAUAAUUGUGGCUAGCACGCAAUGAAUACACGACGUUAAAGUGAUUUUUGAAUGAAAUACAGAACGCUAGGUUUAAGGUAAUCUUAAAAUAUUUAACAUAGGAUUACUAUAUAUAUAUAUAUAUAUAUAUAUAUGAAAACAAAAGUUUACCAUCAACCACUUGACCUCAAUGGACGGAGACUAACCAGUAUUGAUCCUAAUCAAGUCAUGAUGUAUUAAUUAAGAUUUCACUAAUGUGAUAAAGCCUCCUUAUGCUCAAUUCCUGACCAUAGAAGUCAAAUCGAUAUUUUUCUUUUUUAUGUAUUUUUAAUCAAUUCUUCAUAUCAUCGUAUGACUUUUAUAUCAGGGGAGAAUUAUGUACCAACAUUUUUAUUUUAAUUGAAAGGAUCAAGAUCCAUAUUAAAUUCUUAUUUUGUUUUACAAAGAAUCACUAUCAUAAAAUUAUUUGGUACAAUUUUACAAAGUAGAAUCAUUAUCAUAACAGCUUGCAAAUCUAAUAAACAAAAACGUCAAAAACAAUGAAAUUAAAAGAAGAAAUGUGGGGAUAUUUCCUUUCUUAAUUAUAUUGUAUAAUUGAGUGGAGGUAGUAUUCUCCCUUACCCAAGUGUGAGUAGAGUAAAAUUUGGACAAAGCUCCAUAAGCAUUUAUGUAAGUUGGUCUCAGUAAUAGUUUAAUUUGUAAAUAUCAGUUAUAGUCUCACGUAAUAUGAAUUGUAGUUUGAGAAAUAGUCUCAUGUAAUAAAACAAAAAAAAAAGAAAGAGAAGUAUUUAUAAAUUUCAAACUUAAGUUGGUUAAAAGAAGCAACCCAAUUCAAUAUUCUUUUAUUCCCUAUCCAAUACAAUAACAAAUGUAGUUAGAAACAUAAUGAAGCUACUAGAUUGAUACCAACUUCAAGGUAAUUAAUUAAUUUAAAGAUUACUUAAGAAUUCUCUAAUUAAACGUUAAGAGAAAAAAAAGGGGGAAAAAAUAUCAAAUUGAGGUGGGCCAAAAGAUCUCAAAAACAACGAUGUUUUUGCCAGCAAAAUCUAGUGGCUCUUCUUUGGUGGAACCCUCUAAAGAUUCUCUGUUAGCUUCAUAUAUUUUUUCCACUCUAUAUAACACCCACCACUCUAAUUUUUCAAGCCCCCUUCUCCUCUAGCUUUCUAGCUAUUUUGUUCAUUUGUUAUCUCCUUUCUUGUUUUUUUUUUUAUUAUUGCGAUUGCUCAAUAUAAGCCAAAGUAAUAUUUGUGUAUAUAUUUAUUUGUUAGAAUUUUUUUUAUUAUGGAGAGUGGAACGAGGCAAGGAGCAUUGUCACCAUGCGCUGCAUGCAAGCUUAUUAGAAGGAGAUGCGCCCAAGACUGUGUCUUUGCUCCAUAUUUUCCGGCUGACGAGCCGCAGAAAUUUGCCAGUGUACAUAAGGUCUUCGGUGCCAGCAAUGUUAACAAGAUGCUACAGGUUCCAUUUCCGUGCUCUCUCUUUGUCAGAUCCUAGGGUUUCUUUAACAGUAUACUCUCUGAAUUCUUUUUUCAUGGAAAAGAUAGGCUACAGCUGUUUUUGGAUACCUAAUGAAUGUAUCCAUUUUUUGGUUCUUUUAUAUUUUUUAUAUUUUGUUUUUCACAUAUUGGAGUUAGGUCUACAUUUGAGUAACUUCUAUUUAGUUCGCAUCUUCCUAUUUUAACAAAUACGAACUUAAUUACCCUUGCAGUUAUGGUGCUGCAGGUGUAAUAUAAUUAAUAUUGUAUAUGUACGAUCAUAUAGUUCAAAUUUAAUGUUUUGAUAUGUACAUAUAAUUCACUUAAUUAAACUCACAUUGAGAAACAUUAAAUUUAUUUUCAGCAUGAUCUUCAAAUUGUAGAAAUACAAAUUAAUAAUCCGAUUACCAAGGAGGGGAUGAAAUUUAAGAAGAUAGGGCAAUAGUAGUUAUAGUGGAAAAUUGUCUUUAAAUAAUGGUGUUUAAAAAUGAUAUAGAUAUGUCACGCAUAGUUUUGAGAAAUUGAAAUAAGAGAGGGUUCAAAUUUUAAGUAUUGAUCAAACGAAAAUUUUUCUAUUUAGAGGCUGAUAUGACUCGUUUAGUCAUUUCGAAUUAUCAGAAUAUGCAUUAUUUUUAGGAAAAUAAAUAUGUUGUAUAUUACAAUAUGUAUUUUUUUUAUAUUAGCGUUAUUGAAUUUCUAUAAACUAAUUACUUGUGUAAUUAGCGUUCAUCAAAAGCGACGUUUCAAUUUCUUUUUUUCAGCUGUUAUGACUGUUACGGUGAUUAGUUUUACUGUUAUAGGUUAUAAAAAUAAAUAUAUUCAGUUGACUAAGAUUCUAGUUCUUCUUUUCAAAAGCAGGCCGUUAAUAAUCUUAUACUAAGUUCUUUUAUUUUUUUUUCUUUCUUUCUUUUUAGUUGAUUGUAAGUGAAAGCAAAGAGAAUAAUUAAAGAUGAUAAAUUAACUACUUUAGUUACCACUUGAGACUUUGUUAGCAAUUUAAUAUAUCCUCAGCAUGGAAAAUGGAUUAAAAUUUACAUGGGGUUUCCGCCUGCUCCUUUUGACCACUCUUUCGAAAUUGGUCCAAAAAAUGCUCACUCAAAGUGAUUUUGGGAAAAGAAAGCAUGAAGCAUGCUCUGAUGAAUCAUCAGUGCUUUCUACUUUAUGAACAUAGAGGAUACUUUUCUUUUUUUGUUCGAAGGUGGUCUUAAGUGGACCUUAAUUGUGGGAAGUAUUUUUAAAUCCGUAUCACAAUUCAGACUAAUUUUUGCUCGCAUCGAGUCGACCUGUAAGGGGUAAAGUGCUGGCCAAAGUGGUGACUACAUACGAGAGCGGGGCUUGAACCCCUAACCUCUAACAUAGAGGAUACUUUGAUAGUGACUUUGUUCACCAAAAAGAGAAUUGAUUGAUGUUAACAAAGUAUAAAGUUGAAAUAUAAUUAUCACUAAACACCGAUUAGAGUUACCUAAGCAUGACAUCACCUUGACCUAUGCAAUUAUACCAUUAGUUUGUUGAUUAACUAGGUUAGAUUAAUUCUUUUAGCUGGGUCAUGAAGAUUGAUUGAUUAUUAAUUACUUACCUUUUUUUUUCCAAUUAUAUGCUUAAGCAAAGUGCUCGUUCUAAAAUACCUUAAUAAUAGCUUUUAUAAAAAAAAACUUUGAGAUAUAACAAGUAUUCAAACAUUGAGCUAAUAUAUAUAAUUUAUUUAAUUCAUUAUCAGAAUAUGUUUGAGAUUGAGGAGCUCAGACAUUUAAUGGUAGUUAUCAUAUAAAAAUGAUAGAUGACUUAAUUUAACAUUAGUUAUCAAGUAAAAGGCGAUGUUUACCCAACACUUAACUGUUGUCACUAACAAAACCACAAAACCAUGGCGAGAUGAGGUAGAUACUCCAACUAGGGUUUGAAAAUUUUUUUAUGUAUAAUAUCACAGCAACUCCAACUGAGAUUUGAAAAUUUUUUAUAUAUCACAACAACUCUUGCGAUCUCAAAAUGCAUUGCUGAUUUUUUUUAAUUUUUAGAAUUGCCUCAUUAGAAAUCUCAUUGUUUCACUUAUAUUUUUAAUUUGAACUUUUCCUAGCCAAUAUAAGUUCUUGGAUCUUGGCUAUCAUAUUUUCAAACUUCAGCUGAAACAUAACCGUUGAUAAAACAUAAUCUUAAUUUUUAAUUACUUUCAAGUUCUUCUCAGAGGGAGAUUGAAAUUCACAAUAAUCAAGUUUAAAUUAUAUUAAUUAUUGUAGAAUAUACAAAGAUGUUAGAACUUGUAAUUACACUCAUUUGUGUUAAUGAAUUCUUUAAGACCUAAUGAGCCCUUGUACUCUCCUAGCAAAGAAGUAACCUCUCUAAUUGUUUGCAUGUAAAAACAUGCAGGAACUGCCGGAGCACCAACGCAGUGAAGCAGUGAGUUCAAUGGUAUAUGAAGCCAAUGCUAGGUUUCGUGACCCGGUUCGCGGUUGCGUUGGUGCCAUAUCAUCUUUGCAGCAACAAGUAGACUCACUGCAAGCCCAACUGGCUUUAGCACAAGCCGAAGUGGAGCAAAUGAGAAUGCGCCUAAUCUCACCUUCAUCAUCAUCAUCCCAUAACUAGCCAGCAAAUUCAAUGGACCAUAUGGUUG